Toxotes jaculatrix (banded archerfish) is the source of this 412-nucleotide long non-coding RNA. RefSeq lists it as uncharacterized. The transcript is spliced from 3 exons. The record is from RefSeq and is a predicted model, not a curated record. Lineage: Eukaryota; Metazoa; Chordata; Actinopteri; Toxotidae.
CUUUAUUCCAUGUGAAGGAUUUUGGCGCAAGUUUUUAAACAUCCUGUGGCACCCGUGGUGAGGGCCCUUCACUCAGGAACAUUAUAGACCGCACCGUUGGAUGUGACGUUGCCAUGGGUUUGGUUUUGCUGCACCAAAGCACAUCACUAUGCAGUAUCUCUUUUUGCUGGUUUUGUCACCCUGUCAUCAUACCACCCCUCUGAGCUGCUGGAUCCAGAGACUGCAGGGCAGAAAACCCAUUUGCACCUUGGUGGCAUUUCCACAUUUUGACACCAGAAUGCAACUAAAGGAGUUGCUUCUUUCAAAUGCAUAAAAAGAGACCAUUUAUCUUUAAACCUAACUGACAACCAAAACACUUGAGUUAUUGUUAUUUAGAUAAUAUCCUUGUUUUCAGUUUUGAAAUGACCUCUGA